CAGUCGCCGCGGUAAUACGUAGGUGGCUAGCGUUGUCCGGAAUUAUUGGGCGUAAAGCGCGCGCAGGCGGAUCGGUCAGUCUGUCUUAAAAGUUCGGGGCUUAACCCCGUGAUGGGAUGGAAACUGCCAAUCUAGAGUAUCGGAGAGGAAAGUGGAAUUCCUAGUGUAGCGGUGAAAUGCGUAGAUAUUAGGAAGAACACCAGUGGCGAAGGCGACUUUCUGGACGAAAACUGACGCUGAGGCGCGAAAGCCAGGGGAGCGAACGGGAUUAGAUACCCGUGUAGUCCCUGUCUCUUAUACA
Molecule: ribosomal RNA, 301 nt
Filed under: uncultured bacterium
Lineage: Bacteria
Description: partial 16S ribosomal RNA
Rfam family: Bacterial small subunit ribosomal RNA
Source: RNAcentral